Long non-coding RNA from Humulus lupulus (European hop), 1110 nucleotides. RefSeq lists it as uncharacterized. Lineage: Eukaryota; Viridiplantae; Streptophyta; Magnoliopsida; Rosales; Cannabaceae. The record is from RefSeq and is a predicted model, not a curated record. The transcript is spliced from 3 exons.
GUCACAACAAGGUCAAAUUGUAAUGCACCAAAAAAAAAAUUUAGUUUAUUAAAAUUUUUGGUGUUUUAUUUUAUUUUAAGUGUUAAGUGUGGUGAAUUGUUUUAUUUAAAUGUUGUUUAUUUUAUUUAGUUGUUGUUUGUUUUAUUUAAUUAUUUGUUAUUUUAUUUAAUUGUUAGAAUUGUUUGGUAUAAUCUUUUUUAAUUUAAAUUUGUUAAUUGUUUGUUUGAUUAUUUAUUUUUAAUAUGUGAAUAAUUGUGUAACUUGUUUAUUUUACUAUUUGUGCUACAUUUUAAAUAAGUGUGACAAUUGAUGUGAUUAAAAUAGGUUUUUUUAUUUUAUUUUUAAGUGUGUGCCGAAAUGUGUGUGUGUGUAUGUGAAUGUGUUUUAUUUUUCUUUUAUUAAUUUAUUUAGUUAUUGUUCCCAUUAUAGAAAAAGGAAAGGGUAGUAUGAAUCUAGACCUAAUGUGAGUCUUGAGCAUUUUUCCUUUUAAUUAUGAAAGAAAAGAAAAUAGAAAAGAAAAGAAAUAUAAGUUGUCAUCUUGUAGGAAAAGAUGACAAGGUUGAUUUUUGAUUUGGUUCACAUUAGGAUAAGGGUUUAGGUGAGGUGUAAGAAGAGGAAAUGAUGGGAUUUAGCUUAAAUUAUGGGAUAGGAAUUUGGCUUUUCACACUUGAGUCCUUUUCUUAAGGUUAGGUCACUAGAGGCUAUAAAUAGGAGAGUAUGGAAGCCUUGGCAUUCUUUUGCUUGUGGCUGCCGAAAUUAGAGAGAAGGAGAGCGAGAAAGAGGCGUGAAAGAGAGAGAAAGUGGAGGAGAAAAGAAGAAGAAGAAGGAGGUCCUAGGUAUGGUUUUCUUAUGGUUCCUUGUUAUUUUUCUUUAGAUUAAGGUUUAUCUUCCCCAUCAUCUUAAGUCUUUUUUUCUAUGUUCUUCUUCUUCAUGGGUUUCAAAAAUCCUAGGGUAUUCAAGGGUGAUUAUCACUUGGGUGUUGAUCAAGUUGUGUUCUUGAGUUUACAAUCAAGAGAGGCUCGUUGAGAAGUUGUGGUUUUACUUAGCUUGGACCUGAGGUAGCAAAUAGGUUUCUCUGUGGCACGCGUGGUGAUGUGGGGAGUUCUGUCG